UGCAAGGCUUUGCAAUUCUCCUUAUGCGUCUUCCUGAAGCAAGGAAGACUUUUCUGAUCCUGCAACAGUGGCUUCGCUCAUAACCUUCAGCCCUACAUCCGAUUACAUUAUUGAGAAUUAUCCUUUCUUGGUCAAGCAACCCAGUCCCUGUGCAGCUGCCCCAAACUCCUGCAGUUUCUGUGGUUGCUCUUUUCCAAGAGCAUCCCGUGACUUCCCCAUUGAAGACAUCUCCUCCAAUUCCUAAUGUAAGGCACAAAUCUUUACCUUCAGACUUGAGUGACAACACUGGGCUAAAAGGUGAAGAAGGCUGUGAGUUUGGACUACUUAAUGGCAGGUGAGAAGGACCCUCCAGGAAUACAGCACCCAAUCUCCCAAAUCAUUGACAGAUUUUCAGCCUCAUCCUUCUCUAGAGCUACAUUUGCAGAGUCCCAGAGCCCCAGUAGCAACUUUUGUACAACACCAGCCCUUCAACAGGUGGAUUUGCUGGAUCUUCUGGAUGUGGAGAAACAGAAAGGAGGAAAGUCAUAAAACCAAUCAGAGGAUGUUGUCCUUGAUGUGUGCCAUAAAAGAGAGGCAGAAGGGUGUGUAGACAGAGCAACAAGCACUUAUCAUGGUUUUCCAGGAUAUCCAUAAAGAGACAGCUAGCAUUGAUCAGUCCAUCCACAAAUACGUACCCCAGUUUGCUGAGGCUAAAGCAGAACUGAAAUGGAGACAUGUUUACAGAUCUGCUGGAGGACCACAACCUACUACUGCUACCAGCUAAUGAAGGACCUCCUCAAGUAGUAGAGGUCUGUGGAGGUCCUGCAUUCAAACCCUGUUGGAGGUUUGUUCCAUGAACAGGAAAAACUGAGUGAUCGCCAUUAUAAACUAAAGCAUUGUAUUUAAAUGUGUCUUAUUUGGAAUGAUUUCUACCUUUGUAUUUAUUUGUUUCUAUAUGCUAUGUGCUAGCUAUGAUGUUGAUCCUGCAAGAGUCAACAAACCAUCCAGACGAGAAAUAUUUCCUCAGUGAUGCACACUGAGCUUUAUUCUGCCUCCUUGGCAUAUCUAAUACUCCCAUGAUAUACAAGGGGAUUUUUGAGUAUAAUAGACUAGUAGGUUUAGGCCCAUAAUGUCCUGAAAUGACAACAUGAAAAAUUAAGAGUGAACUUUGUCCUACUGAUUUGUUUCAGAAACAGAAGCAAAAUACAAACAUGAUAUAACCAAACUGCCAUAUGAGUAUAAGUUGCUAUGGACGUAGGCAGUGAAGAAAUGUCUUUACAUUAAAAAGUAAUAAACUCAUUGCAAACACAGCUAAUCAAUCAUUCUCUUGGCACGAAUAAGGUUUGAGGAGAAGGAAGAUGGUUCAAAUUGCAAUUCAGUAAUGAUGCUACAAAGCCAAAGGGUAAAAUAAUUUAAUGUAAGUUA
Dermochelys coriacea (leatherback sea turtle) is the source of this 1404-nucleotide long non-coding RNA. RefSeq lists it as uncharacterized. NCBI's taxonomy places the organism in Eukaryota, Metazoa, Chordata, Testudines, Dermochelyidae. The record is from RefSeq and is a predicted model, not a curated record. The transcript has 3 exons.